GACGAACGCUGGCGGCGUGCUUAACACAUGCAAGUCGAACGGAAAGGCCCUGCUUUUGUGGGGUGCUCGAGUGGCGAACGGGUGAGUAACACGUGAGUAACCUGCCCUUGACUUUGGGAUAACUUCAGGAAACUGGGGCUAAUACCGGAUAGGAGCUCCUGCUGCAUGGUGGGGGUUGGAAAGUUUCGGCGGUUGGGGAUGGACUCGCGGCUUAUCAGCUUGUUGGUGGGGUAGUGGCUUACCAAGGCUUUGACGGGUAGCCGGCCUGAGAGGGUGACCGGCCACAUUGGGACUGAGAUACGGCCCAGACUCCUACGGGAGGCAGCAGUGGGGAAUAUUGCACAAUGGGCGGAAGCCUGAUGCAGCAACGCCGCGUGCGGGAUGACUGCCUUCGGGUUGUAAACCGCUUUCGCCUGUGACGCAGCGUGAGUGACGGUAAUGGGUAAAGAAGCACCGGCUAACUACGUG
Molecule: ribosomal RNA, 468 nt
Filed under: uncultured bacterium
Lineage: Bacteria
Description: partial 16S ribosomal RNA
Rfam family: Bacterial small subunit ribosomal RNA
Source: RNAcentral